RNAcentral lists this long non-coding RNA (297 nucleotides) under Elaeis guineensis (African oil palm). RNAcentral's name for it is "long non-coding RNA (EGUI_LNC059677)". Lineage: Eukaryota; Viridiplantae; Streptophyta; Magnoliopsida; Arecales; Arecaceae. The record is from RNAcentral.
CGAGCUUCUACGAUGAACAGCCUCCACCAGUAGGGUCUCUACUCCGAACCUCUACUACAAGCAGUCUACUUCGAACUUCUACUGCAAGUGAUCUACUCCGAACUUCUACUAUGAGCGAUCUACUCUGAACUUCUACUACGAGCGGUCUAUUCCGAACUUCUACUAUGAGCGGUCUACUCUGGAUCUCUACUGUAAGUGAAUUCCAUUCGAGCUUCUACUCUAAACAAAUUCCUUUCAAACUUCUGUUAUAGGCAGACUUCAGCCGAGCUUCUUUAAUAAGCGGUCCCCAUCCAGACU